This 519-nucleotide ribosomal RNA is filed under the name uncultured Streptomyces sp. RNAcentral's name for it is "bacterial SSU rRNA". It matches the Rfam family "Bacterial small subunit ribosomal RNA", at positions 144 to 675 of the family's 1533-position model. Lineage: Bacteria; Bacillati; Actinomycetota; Actinomycetes; Kitasatosporales; Streptomycetaceae. The record is from RNAcentral.
CAAGCCCUGGAAACGGGGUCUAAUACCGGAUGGGACUGCCGGCCGCAUGGUCUGGUGGUGGAAAGCGUUUAGUGGUGCAGGAUGAGCCCGCGGCCUAUCAGCUUGUUGGUGGGGUGAGUGCCUACCAAGGCGGCGACGGGUAGCCGGCCUGAGAGGGCGACCGGCCACACUGGGACUGAGACACGGCCCAGACUCCUACGGGAGGCAGCAGUGGGGAAUAUUGCACAAUGGGCGGAAGCCUGAUGCAGCGACGCCGCGUGAGGGAUGACGGCCUUCGGGUUGUAAACCUCUUUCAGCAGGGAAGAAGCCGCAAGUGACGGUACCUGCAGAAGAAGCACCGGCUAACUACGUGCCAGCAGCCGCGGUAAUACGUAGGGUGCGAGCGUUGUCCGGAAUUAUUGGGCGUAAAGAGCUCGUAGGCGGCGUGUCACGUCGGAUGUGAAAGCCCGGGGCUUAACUCCGGGUUUGCAUUCGAUACGGGCAGGCUAGAGUUCGGUAGGGGAGAUCGGAAUCCUGGUG